ACUUAGAAUUUGUCUCCAUGUUGUAAGAAACCAUCUAACGGGUGAUCAAGUCGGGACACGGCAAGAGUACACAACAAAUAAAUGUUUUUGAAGUUGCUUCCCCUCCAAUAAAAAAGAUCCAUCACGCCCAUGAAUUGAACCACUAUAUAGUAAAAACCAAUUUGGGUUCGGACAACCUUUUAAGAGGACAACCACCAAUUGCAAUCGGAAUCAGAAGUGGAAAUACUGUUCCGAGAGGCAGCAGAAAAAUGAAGAUCGCCAAAGAACACUUGGGCAGCAGAAAAAUGAAGAUCGCCAAAGAACACUUGAAUUUUUCUCCAUGUUGUAAGAAACCAUAUGCGGGCGAUCAAGUCUAGGACAUGGCAAGAGUACAC
Molecule: long non-coding RNA, 374 nt
Filed under: Linum usitatissimum (flax)
Lineage: Eukaryota; Viridiplantae; Streptophyta; Magnoliopsida; Malpighiales; Linaceae
Description: long non-coding RNA (LUSI_LNC005691)
Source: RNAcentral